RNAcentral lists this ribosomal RNA (482 nucleotides) under uncultured bacterium. RNAcentral describes it as "partial 16S ribosomal RNA". It matches the Rfam family "Bacterial small subunit ribosomal RNA", at positions 30 to 507 of the family's 1533-position model. The record is from RNAcentral.
AUUGAACGCUGGCGGCAUGCCUUACACAUGCAAGUCGAACGGUAACGGGCCUUCGGGUGCCGACGAGUGGCGCACGGGUGAGUAAUACAUCGGAACGUGCCCGAUCGUGGGGGAUAACGAGGCGAAAGCUUUGCUAAUACCGCAUACGAUCUACGGAUGAAAGCAGGGGACCGCAAGGCCUUGCGCGGACGGAGCGGCCGAUGGCAGAUUAGGUAGUUGGUGGGAUAAAAGCUUACCAAGCCGACGAUCUGUAGCUGGUCUGAGAGGAUGAUCAGCCACACUGGGACUGAGACACGGCCCAGACUCCUACGGGAGGCAGCAGUGGGGAAUUUUGGACAAUGGGCGCAAGCCUGAUCCAGCCAUGCCGCGUGCAGGAUGAAGGCCUUCGGGUUGUAAACUGCUUUUGUACGGAACGAAAAGCCUUCCUUUAAUACAGGAGGGUCAUGACGGUACCGUAAGAAUAAGCACCGGCUAACUACGUG